ACUCCUGCGGGAGGCAGCAGUGGGGAAUAUUGGACAAUGGGCGCAAGCCUGAUCCAGCCAUGCCGCGUGAGUGAUGAAGGCCCUAGGGUUGUAAAGCUCUUUCACCGGUGAAGAUAAUGACGGUAACCGGAGAAGAAGCCCCGGCUAACUUCGUGCCAGCAGCCGCGGUAAUACGAAGGGGGCUAGCGUUGUUCGGAUUUACUGGGCGUAAAGCGCACGUAGGCGGACUAUUAAGUCAGGGGUGAAAUCCCGGGGCUCAACCCCGGAACUGCCUUUGAUACUGGUAGUCUUGAGUUCGAGGGAGGUGAGUGGAAUUCCGAGUGUAGAGGUGAAAUUCGUAGAUAUUCGGAGGAACACCAGUGGCGAAGGCGGCUCACUGGCUCGAUACUGACGCUGAGGUGCGAAAGCGUGGGGAGCAAACAGGAUUAUAAACCCUUGUAGUCCCAUG
Molecule: ribosomal RNA, 448 nt
Filed under: uncultured organism
Description: partial 16S ribosomal RNA
Rfam family: Bacterial small subunit ribosomal RNA
Source: RNAcentral